CAGGGCUCUGGCUGUUAGCCUGGGACAUGGGAGAGGGGACCCCACUGCAGCCCCCCCAGGCCUGAGCAGGGUGAAGAACCCUAAGAGGAGCAGAGUGUCUGAUAGUCCUCAUACCACAAUACCAUGUUUGUUGCGAACCUGCCUGGACAGGAGAGUGAGAUUGAAGCCUCUGAGACAAAGACCUAUGUUGGGGGAAAGGAGCAAUAAGGAGUCCAAUCCUAAUUCUGAGGACAGAUAGAUGAGAAUAGAGAGCUGGAACAUCAAGUCAGUGAGCAGAACUGCACGUGCAAUCUCACCCAGUUCUGAAUGUAUGAAUUCUUUCUUCAUUUUUGAUAAUGAAUACUCUGAAACUCUAGCCAAAAACUAAACAAGAAAGAUGGAGGUCUGUGGCAACUGAUGGACCGUCUACGUGGUGCGAAUUCCUGAGGCACACUCUGGCAGACACUGUCCCUAAGCGGUUCCAGCUGGCUCUCAGUCCCUCAAGUUAUGGUGGGAAACAGAAUUUCAGCAGGAAAAUGCCAUGAAGAAAGGAUACCAAGACGGAGUUCAAACCUUUCCUACUACAGGCGCCAUCUUGAAUUCUUAUUUUCAAAUUUUGAAUUGCAGCAACAUUUAUUAUAAUACAUAACAAAAGUAUAACCAUACACCAACAACACCCUACACAGUGUAAACACUGUGUUGCCUACGUUGCCCUAAGUGGCCUCCAGGAGAUAACUCACAAUGCCCACCGGGGCCACUCUGGUCACCAUUUUGAACUCCGCUGCCCUGCAUCCAGGUAGACAGGUGAAUACCCCUCUCCUGUUAAAACCCCAGAAAGUUUUGAACUUGCUUUUCCUGUUUGCUUGGUGUGGAGAGCUCACAUAGCAACUGCCCAGCUGAGCAGGCCGGCUCCACACACCAAACUUGCUCCUACCUGGAGUACAUGGGAGAUGGUGGAACUUCUGGGUCUGUGAGGAAAGGAGGCUGUGCAGUCACAGCUCCAUUCCAGCUAUAGGAACUUGCUUGGGGCAUGGAGGAGAAGGGCCAUGAUAGGGACAUGCAUCUGUGCCAUGUAAAAAUGAAAGAGCUGCAGCAGUAAUAGCAGAAGGCAAGGGAGGCAAAUAGUCGCCUCUGGUGUGGAGCCACAGACAUGAUGCUUCUACAAGGAGGGGGCUGGGAUCAGGGGGGUGGUGAAUAGCCUCCCCGUUGAGCUCCUCUUGUAGCCUUGUGUUCAUAACGCACAGCCCAAGACUGAAGAGCAGUGCAGGAUCCAUACUUUCUGACACAGAUUGCUGGUUAGCAAGCUACCAGGACAGUUAAAAAGCAGCUGGAAAUCUAGUAGUGUGUGAUUAUAAGAAUUCCUUUUGUGUGUUAGUGAAUCAAGCUAGCAACAGGCUGUGGUAUAGUUAUAUCUUACUCCAUACAGUUCUGUAAUAUGAUAAUCCUUAAUGACAGCUGGUGAGCACCUCCAUAUUUACAGCAGUACUAGGGGUGAAUACAUUAUUUCUUUAAUCAUAAGCAAACCAGUUGUGUUAUGAACCAGUUCUAUUUUAGGAUGACUGCAAGAGUGAAGACCCCCCCCCCCCCGCCCCACACACGUCAGAAACAUCUGAAAAAUGUUUUUUUUUUAAAUCCAUGCUGCUGUAUACAGGUGACAAACCCCUUGAAUUACCAAGCACCAUGGCAGCUGUGGGAUUACGAAAACACCUGUUUUGACUGACUACCUGAAAAAAUAAGAAAGCAAAAAUACUGUGGAAUGUAUGAUCAAAUCUCCCUGCACAGCUACUUUGUACACUUUGCUCUUUUCAGCACUAACCUUAAGUGUCACAGGGCUGUCUGAUAAGUUAAUGUAGAAUCCCACAUGAUUUCUACAACCAUGCACCCGGGGGCUCUAUGAAGAUGGCUGGUCUGGGAUCUUAAUCUUUAUAUUAGUUUUGUUCUGGUGGAUAGGGGGAGUAAGGCACUUGGCUCUCACUUAAGAUCUAAUCCUGUUACUAGUGAAGUCAGUUUAAGUUCAAAGCAGAAAAAACAUAUUUGAACAGCAAUUACCAACAUUGAUGGGAGGAAGAGAAACAGAGCAG
Mauremys mutica (yellowpond turtle) is the source of this 2060-nucleotide long non-coding RNA. RefSeq lists it as uncharacterized. Lineage: Eukaryota; Metazoa; Chordata; Testudines; Geoemydidae. The record is from RefSeq and is a predicted model, not a curated record. The transcript has 4 exons.